This is a non-coding RNA of Vicugna pacos (alpaca), 995 nucleotides long. Lineage: Eukaryota; Metazoa; Chordata; Mammalia; Artiodactyla; Camelidae. The record is from RefSeq and is a predicted model, not a curated record.
UUCUAGGGAGAAAAUGGCUGCUGAGACUAAGAUUAGGGACCAGGUCUUUCCACAGUGCAGGAUUAAAACAUAUCUGACCUGUAGACACAGAGACCAUCUACACAGACAGGCAUGUCCUGCAAAUUUACCUUUUAGAAUCUUAGUUUGGAGGCUCACUGGAGUCUUCUGUGACUGUUUUUAUUUAUUUCCUUCUCUGCUCUGCUGGUGUCAUCCUACAGGAUUAAUAUGUGAUCCUGAAAAUGACAGUUUUAACCUUGCUGGGAAAAUUAAAAAAAAAAAAAAAAGCAUGUGACUGUGUGACCGGCAUGCAAGGAGGUGUGAAUACUUGUCUGUGGUUUGCACUCCAAAUCGGGGUUGUUGCUGCUAGCUACUCUGUAACUUUGCCUCAAACAUUUCCAUGAAGAGAACCUUCCUCAUUGCCACAAACCAAGCCUUUCAAUCUGCUGUGGUUUGGCCUGGAAGCCCACAUCUGUGCCAUGCUGUGAAGGAACCAGUGAUCCCUUUCGCUCUUGACAUGGGCAAAUAAAGGCAGAUUACCUCCAAGGCACAGACAGGCUUUUACCUUCCCAUGGCAAGGAUGGCCACCAGAAUUUCCACACCAGCAUUUGUUUUCCAACAGUUAUAGUGAAAAUACCUCAAGAUAACUCCUAGUUUUGGAUUGUCUCAUGACAACAACUCAUUUUGGAAGCAGUCGCUUUGCCACCAAUCUGCCGUGCCUGGGUGACUUGCCAACCCUAGAGUCACAGGGUGGGGUCAGUCUCACAGGCGCAACAUGCACAGAAUGGAAAUUUCCCAAAGAAAAAUGUUAAGUGCUCCUAGCAGAAUAAAGAAGUGAAUUCUGGCAGCAGCGAGCCCAGUCCACAUAACUGAUGUCUGAACUGCCCUCUGCUGCUCUGUGCUCCAGGCCCACUGUCAGUCUUUCUGGGACAGUGAAGGCUGUACCUCAACAGGUCUGAUGAACAGCUAGUAAGCAGUGAGCUGAGCUUCAAAUCAAG